This is an RNA transcript of Rhododendron vialii, 6346 nucleotides long. It is a transcript of the gene named F-box/kelch-repeat protein At3g23880-like, with no coding region annotated. Lineage: Eukaryota; Viridiplantae; Streptophyta; Magnoliopsida; Ericales; Ericaceae. The record is from RefSeq and is a predicted model, not a curated record. The transcript is spliced from 4 exons.
AUGAACCCUAGUUUUGCAGAGCAAAUUGAGAUGGUGACGAAGAAGAAGAAGAAUGUUUUGUAGUGGUCAUCAAAGAGUUCCAAUGCCAAAGACUCCCACAAGAAAAAUCCUAGUCGCAGAUAUCCUCCCAAAACCCUAGUCUUGCAUCGCGGUUCAGUUUGCGCGCAUUUCAGCUCCUCCCAUAGCCGUUUCACACCCUUACGCGUGAGGGCCCAGUGUUGCUAGGAGAAACGAACCUAAAACCUUAGGAGGGAGCAAACACCUAAAUUCCAAGUCCAACAUCACCAGGCCAACCCCUUGGGGUUCCUCCUCCGUUUUCGUGCCAGAAGAGUAAGCAUUAACCCGAAGAGAAAGCAUUAACGCUUAGUUUCACAGUUGAAAAGCUCAGUUUUGGUUAUGGGUAUUGGUUAUGAUCCAUCUACUUAUGUCAUCUACUGGAAGUUUGGUUAUAUUGUUCAUUGAGAACUAGUCCUUGGAAACAGAUUGAAGACUUCCCUGGCGGAGUCUUUAAGACAAUUCAUAAGAGAAGGUACGAUUUAAUGGAAUUUUCUCAGAUGGACUGUAUAUUUUACAAGAUUCACCUGAUAAAUGCAAGAUAGUUUCUUUCGACGUGGCGAAGGAGAGAAGCUGUGCUAGAGUUGGGCUACUAGGUGAAAACACGCCUAUGCAUGUAUCAAGAUAAACGCUUACGAUGGCAGAGAUAUCACGGGAAUCCGGUGUAGCGGUUAUGAAUGUUCUAUAAUUAUAUUUGGCACAAAAUCACAUAAAGCCGUAAGUAUCGGCUGUAGUGGCGAUGAAGCGGGAAAAAAACGGAUAUGAAGCAAUAUGCAUUGGGAAACGGCAUACACGUGCCAAUUUCUUGUAUCACCGAUAUAUGAGAGAGUAAUGGUAUGGGAGAGCCGAAAAACCGAUGCGCUACGUAGCAGCCAGUGCUGAUGUCUAAAACCUUGGUAGAAUUAUAGCUUAUGCUUGAUCACUGAUUUUUACAAUGUUGAGUCUUUCACUAAACAUAUACGCCAAACCAAACCUGCAGGGAAGUGGUUGAGUCCCUUGCCUCUGUUGAAGAAUGGCAAAGUCGUCUUGGUGGCCGUAGAAAGUGAUAUCUUAGCGAUUUACCUUUUGAAAAACAGAACAUGUAGCAAUUUACAGAUUCCUUGGAUGCCCAGAACUUAACAAUGUCCUUUUCGGAAAACCUCAGUUUGCUAAAUCCCUUCUAACAAUCUCAAAUUCUUAGUAAUGCCGGGAAGGGAAGGAAGGAGCGGAAAUGGUAAAUUAUGGUUUUUAUACCUGUUGUCCUUCUUUUCCCCUUCAAGUUGUAUCUUUUCAAUGUUAUAAUCAAUCAUUAUGUUAGCUUGCAUGUAUACAGCGCAAUUGAGAUACUACUCUGUGAUGAAACAAAAAGACGUUUCAUUAGACUUCUUUCUUUUCUUCAAAAAGGGGCCUUCUCUGUUUUUGUUUUGUUUUGUUUUAUAGUAUGUUUUGUUGUUUUUCUGACUUUUGUUUAAAUAUAUCUCCAAGUAUAUAAUACCUUAUUUGUUUGUUGGUUUAUGUGGCCAAAGACUAUACCCUAUUACUCAUUAUCUGGAAUAUCCAGUGCCAAUUGUCAACUGUCAAUCACAGCCUUAACUUUACUUACAUUAUCUGUUUAUUAUUGCUGAAAACAUUCUGUAAGUUACAUAACACUUUACAGUUGGAAUGUUGUGUAAUUGAAUUUUUUUAUGCAACACUAGGACAUCCCAAGCAUGUUCUACAAUUUUAUAUUUAUAAAGAUUGAUUUUUUCCCCCACAUUUCAUCACAGCGAUAACAUGUCUACUAAUUGAAGUGACUCCCAAGGCUUUCUUGUUAAUAGUUAUUUUGUUUUUUGAACAGCAAGUGAAUGCAAGAGAUUUUCGGGCAAAAACAAAGAUGGAAUAACAAAAAGGUUACCUGCAUCAGUUGUAUUGCUUUUGUAGCAGUUGCUGCUUGGACUUCGAGCAAUCAUCAAAAAAUUGGGAUUGAGAUCUAUCUCUAUUGUCUAUCCUACAUUUUAGUUUUGUGAUUCACAACUUGCUUUAUUUGUCUUUGGAUUCGCAUGUUGAUCAGACCAUCCUUAGUUGAACUUAACGACUGUUAGAAGUUUAAUACAUGUACUCUGAUUAAACUUUUUACGUGGAUACAGAAUCCUAAAACUUUUACGGUCUCAUAGAAUAUGAGAUGCAAAUUGUAAUUUGGUUUUUGCUCCUGUUUGUGCAACCUGGUUGAACGGUCAGCACCCUAGCUAACGUGCUGUGAGUGUUCCAACCAGUUAGAUUUAUGCCUUUUCAUUGUCUUCCUCCUUGAGAAAUCAGGCUAUUCUACUCCAUCACCUGCGAAGUUCAAGUAGCUUAGGCUUUUCACCCAUUAUCGAGCCGAAUUUGAGCCAAAAGCUCAAGAAAUUCACGUUUGCUUAAGAUAAUAAGUUCAGUUCAGACGAGCUUCUAACAGGCCACAAGCGAGUUGAGUUUGGACUUUUAACUUGGUUCAUUUAACCCUACCACUGCCAUAGUACUAAGCCAAGUUUUAAUGGGUGUCACUUGUCAGGGCCUAUAUAUCCUAAUAGCUCAUACUUGAUGAUUAUGAAGUGCUGGCACAGUCUUAGUUGGUCACAACAGUUGCAGCAAAGAUUGAGUAAAGAAACAAGUCAUCCUUGGAGCCCAACCUUCCUCAUGAUAUCAAUGUGUUCAACCUGCACUAUUUCUGAAGGAUUAAUAAGCCCUGACAAGGAUUUUGGCUCAUGACUCCGAACCAUGUAGUGAGCCUUGCUUCGCCUUGUCUUGCUUGCAGUGCGACUUAGCGGCAAUAUGAAGGACAAAAGACAGUUUCGAAGAAGAAUGGGCAGAUAAGUAAUAUGGAUUAUCUUAGUUACAAGUCUAUGUUGUUUAUUUUGAUAAUAAUUCUGAUGCAAUGAUCUGUUUUUAUUUAGAUGUUUGAAUUAAAAUUGGUGCUAUGAGCUUUGAUGUCAAUUGACCUGGGUUGUAAUGGCUUGCUAGUUGUCCAUGUUUAUAGAACUAGAAGACCAACAAAAUUAAGACAGUUUUCAUGCAACUUUUAGUGUUAUUUUUCCCCUAACUUAUAUUUUUUAGCUGUAUUAUUAAAUUGAUUGUGAAGAGACAUGGUGUUCUCUCUCUCUCUCUCUCUCUCUCUCUCUCUCUCUCUCUCUCUCGUGCGCAAGCGCGAAGCGCGAAUACAGUUUCUUCUGUAUGAAGUCGCUAGCGAGUUAAUUACCUUGCCUACUUGUUCAUAGCUAACAUCUUCUCAAAACUUGGUUGUAAAAAGUUUUACUGUUUCUAGGUGGUGGAUAUUGAUUCUCACUCUGUAAUUUAAACUUGGAUAAUGCCAACUAGUUCUUUUUUUAAAAUGCCUCUAAUCCUAUGGUCCCAAUCAUUUGAAUGAGCUGGGGUCAAUUUUUGGUGAAUCCAUCCACUAUGUAAUGGUGCAAAGUACUAAUUGAACAAGUAGCUUAGCAGAGCUUCUGACAUGAUACGAGGUUCCAUAGUCAACUAUAUCACGAUUUCAUUGUAAACUCAGGCUUCUAUGUAUGAUGUUUGUGCAUGCACUGUAAGUUACCUAAACAUGUUUUGAGUGCGGAUUUGAUAAGAAUAUGACAAUAUUGCUAAGUGUGUUUAGUACUUGCGAGUUUCGACAAUUAUGAUUUUCUAAUGAAGGUAGAUUUGAUAGGAGCUUCUAUUGGACAACACACUUCUCCACAAAUUUGUAAAAAAAUGCAGGAUUAAAUCAUCGGUGAAUUUUUUCUUUGAACAACUGUAACUCUAUUGCACUUGGUGUGUUUGAGUUGGAAACUUGAAGUCUAUAAGAAGAUCACAACAAUAUUGGCAUUGGCGAAACCUGCUGUUAUCCGAAGCAAUAAAGGAACCAUGCCAACUCCCCACACAUGGACGUAAAUGCGAGCAGCAAGUGUAUGUUUAUUUAGUUAACAACCAGAGCCUUGAUUUAAUUGGUCGCUUCCAGGUGCCGUGAUUUGGAAACGUAACGAAAGCAUUUAAACCCAUAUCACCCACCCUCUGGUUCACUUUCCUUUUGCUACUGAUUCUUUCCCUUUCUAUUCACCAUCUCGGGAUGAAACCCUAAAUCCCCAAAUCAACUGUCACUUCUGCUACCCUAUAUCGUCCCAAUUCAUGGCCGCCGAAAACAGCCGUUCAAAAAACCAACAAUUUCCUAAAUAAACUCCAAAAAAACAGCUAGAAAUCCCUCCAUGUGGAGAAUUAUUCAAAUUGCCUGAUCUCCCUCAGGAACUCAUCAUUGAGAUUCUAUUGCGAUUACCUGUCAAGUCAUUGGUUCGGUUCAUAAGCAUAUGCAAAUCUUGGUGCACCAUAAUAUAUGAGCCUCAAUUUGGAAAAAGCACCUCAGUCUUGUGACCAAGGAUGACAACAUUAACAAUUGGAUGGUCAUUAUACGGUACCAGUAUCAUGAUCUCAAAUCGUGUUCUUUACGCUCAUUUUUUCAUGAGCCAUAUGGUCGUGCAGUAGAUCUCUAUUACCCAUUCAAGACUCUGCGACGGGGUGUUGGGAUUGUGGGCUCAUGUGACGGGCUGGUAUGUAUUUAUUAUUAUGAAAAAUUGGUUGACAAUUUUUACAUAUGGAAUCCAUCGACUAGAGAAAGCCACAUUUUGCCGUCUUUCGGGGAAGGAGCUAAUUUUGGGUUUUCUUAUGGGUUUGGAUAUGACUCCUCCAAUGAUGAUUACAAGGUGAUUAGAGUUGCUUUUGCCAAAGGUCCACUAAAAGUCAAGGUUUAUUCCUUAAAAACUGAUUCGUGGAGUAGGAUUGGGGGUUUCCCUAGCAAUUUGAUUAUGUUUCGGCCCAUGGAAUCAAGCAAGCUUGUGAAUGGAUCAAUUCAUUGGUCCGCUACAAAUCUCAACAAUAACUCUUGCGUUAUCAUAGCCCUUGACUUAGGGGAGGAGACAUACAGGGAAAUUCCAAAACCUGAUUUUGGGAAGUUUGGGAAGGAGUGUUCAUUGCUAUCUGUUAGGGCUUUGAGAGGAUGCCUAUGUGCUGUUUGUGAGUAUGCUUUUAGCUUUGAUAUGUGGGUAAUGAAUGAAUAUGGCAGGAAAGAGUGAUGGACUAAAUUGAUCAGUAUGCCAUACUUGCCAGAGCCCCAACCAAUUCGGCACUCAAGACCAUUGUGGUAUAUGAAGGAUGGUGGGGUUUUGAUUAAUCUUAAUGGGGUAUUUUUCGUUUAUGAUCUCAUAGACCAUACACUCAAGCAUCCUUUAAUUUGUGGCAUUCAUUAUUUUCACCAAGCAGACGUCUAUGUGGAGAGCUUAGUUUCACCUAAUGCAUUUAAAAAUAUGCCGACUUACCUUAAUGAGUAACGAAAGAGAGGAAGCCUGAAUCAUGAAGUCAUGAGGAAAUGAUGUUAAGGAAAAGGAACAGUAAUGCCAAAUCAGCACCAGACCAAAAUGGCCUGGGGUCCGUUUUUGGCCAUGAAAUGGCCCUGUUUCAUGUCGUAGCAGACCCUAUUGCCCUUUAGGGCACAGUAGGUCUCCCAACUUGCCUUUUAUAGGGAUGGAUCUCAACUAAGUACCAAGCGCCUCAUAGGAAUGGGCUUCAGCACAAUUUAAUAAUACUUGUCUACAACAUGUUGCUUGUUGGAGUUACGAGGUUCAGAGACAAUGUUGAUAUACUACAUUUUAAUUUUUGUCCUGACGAAUCAAAAUAAAAUAUGGCUGGGUAUUUUGGCUCAUGAAUGAGAACUACAUUGAGAAGCAUUGAAGGUGAUGACGAAUUUAAUUCUAUCUGUUGAUAUCAAAAGAUGUUAUGAGUAUCUUGAGUAGACAUUCCGUAAUUAACAUUACUUGCUUGCUGUGGAACCUUCAACAACCAUGGUUCAAGGUUUGCUAAGAAUUUCACCAAAGGGUCAACCGAGGUUGUGAUGUUCAAAUUAGGUUUGAAACUGAAUCAUUGUGCCAAGUUUUCUGAAGAUAUCAUUUCCCUGUUGUUUGGUGUCCUUCCACUCUUACUCAUAAGUGGUUAGAAGUCAUUACCAAACUCGAUCAAAUGUGACUUUUAAGAAGCAUUUUGCAGAUUUUAGAGAUCAAGGGAACUGAGGGAGAAUACAUGUAAAAUUUCUUAGGGAUGGUGUUAAUUUGUCAUUGAUGCACCCCUCAAAAAUCAGGAAUCAACAAUUAGCAAGAAGCGAGUGUCUUAAGUAUCUUGGGUCAAUUGUUAGUAAGGAUGGAUAGAUUGCGGAUGAUGCAACACAGAGUACAAGUAUGAUGGAUCAAAGUGGCAGAGUGUUUAAGGAAUGUUGUGCGACCACAGGGAUACCCGCAAAGUUGAAAGGGAAAUUCUAACCUAUUGCUAUAGGGCC